GCUCCCAUAGUUUAAGCGGAUAAAACGUUGGAUUCCUAAUCCGAAGCUCUGGGUUCGAGUCCCGGUGGGAGCA
RNAcentral lists this transfer RNA (73 nucleotides) under bacterium. RNAcentral describes it as "tRNA-Arg". It matches the Rfam family "tRNA". Rfam says of the family: Transfer RNA (tRNA) molecules are approximately 80 nucleotides in length. Their secondary structure includes four short double-helical elements and three loops (D, anti-codon, and T loops). The record is from RNAcentral. RNAcentral also lists the same sequence under 3 other names.